Molecule: ribosomal RNA, 1410 nt
Filed under: uncultured fungus
Lineage: Eukaryota; Fungi
Description: eukaryotic LSU rRNA
Rfam family: Eukaryotic large subunit ribosomal RNA (bases 706-1410)
Source: RNAcentral
CGUUACCCCCCUGUGACCUUUAGAGUGCUCUUGCUAGCUAUACGGAACAGCAAUCCUGGUAAAUCAGUGGCGAAAGUUCGUUUUUGAUUCAGGACUUCUGUCCAGGACCUGCAAUUGAGCCUAAGCAGUGGUCUGGAUUCCUGGCCGGGCGGAUGAAAGUGUCGCUGGACGGUUUCUAGGGUAAGGUUAUCCAUCGCUGGAAGGUCCAUCACGGGCCGGCGGACAGACUGCAGGGCGCAAGCCCCCCUACCUGACGACCAAGUUAAAUCGGCCUUUAUCACAUAGCAAGUGCGCCGUGAUAAAGGAAAACGUACAACUGUUAACAAUGAAUAUCUUGGUUCUCGCAACGAUGAAGAACGCAGCGAAAUGCGAUACGUAAUGCGAAUUGCAGAAUUCAGUGAAUCAUCGAAUCUUUGAACGCAAAUUGCGCUCUCGGGUUACCCCCAAGAGCACACCUCUCUGAGUGUCGGUUUAACCAAAUGUCACCAAUUUAUUGGUAACGAAAGCCUGAGGGUAAGGGGUCUCGGCCUCUUUCCCUUCAAAUCUCAGCCUCACUACUGUGUGUGUUAGUGGCAAGUUGCUUUCACUUAAUUGUGAAUCCAAUCCACCGACCCGCGGUUGGGAAGCCAAAAGAAACAAAUGUUACAAAGGUGUGUAUCCAAGAAGCUUGCUUCAAGGGUUCGCGGCUCUGUACAUCUAUGAAUUAGACCUCAGAUGAAGUGGGAAGACCCCCUGAAUUUAAGCAUAUUAUUAAGGGGAGGAAAAGAAACUAACAAGGAUUCCCCUAGUAACGGCGAGUGAAGCGGGAAGAGCUCAAAUUUAAAAUCCGCAAGUCUAACAGCUUGUGGAGUUGUAAUCUAGAGAGGCUCUCUCAGUGCCAGCCUGGUUAUAAGUCCCUUGAAACGGGGCAUCAAAGAGGGUGAGAAUCCCGUAUUUGAGCCGGAGCUAAGUACGUACGAGGAGUUUUCUAAGAGUCGCGUUGCUUGGGAGUGCAGCGCUAAAUGGGUGGUAAAGUUCAUCUAAAGCUAAAUACUGGCGAGAGACCGAUAGCGAACAAGUACGGUGAGGGAAAGAUGAAAUGAACUUUGAAAAGAGAGUUAAAAAGUACUUGAAAUUGUUAACAGGGAAGGGGAGUCAACCAGUCAAUUUUGGCUUCAUUCGCUUCUCUUUCGGGAGGAGUUACUUGAGGCCGAAUGGGGUCAGCAUCACUUGAGUGUCUUGCAGAAACUGUGUGAGUUGGUGCGUUUCUUCGGAUUCGUUUAAUUCAUGCGAUCUACAUUGUGCUUGGGUGAGGAUACCACAACCCCCCGCUUUCGGGCGUCGAUUCUCUGAGGUCUGUUUGCCCUAGCGCGUGAGAGAACAAAGUUCUGUCUGUGCGAAAGGUGAAUACUGCUUUGGAUGAGUCAGAUG